AUUGAACGCGGGCGGCAGGCCCAACACAUGCAAGUCGAGCGGUAGAGAGAAGCUUGCUUCUCUUGAGAGCGGCGGACGGGUGAGUAAUGCCUAGGAAUCUGCCUGGUAGUGGGGGAUAACGUUCGGAAACGGACGCUAAUACCGCAUACGUCCUACGGGAGAAAGCAGGGGACCUUCGGGCCUUGCGCUAUCAGAUGAGCCUAGGUCGGAUUAGCUAGUUGGUGAGGUAAUGGCUCACCAAGGCGACGAUCCGUAACUGGUUUGAGAGGAUGAUCGGGCCAACUGGAACUGAGACACGGAGCAGACUCCUACGGCAGGAAGCAGUGGGGAAUAUUGGACAAUGGGCGAAAGCCUGAUCCAGCCAUGCCGCGUGUGUGAAGAAGGUCUUCGGAUUGUAAAGCACUGUAAGUUGGGAGGAAGGGUUGUAGAUUAAUACUCUGCAAUUUUGACGUUACCGACAGAAUAAGCACCGGCUAACUCUGUGCCAGCCGCCGCCGUAA
RNAcentral lists this ribosomal RNA (500 nucleotides) under uncultured bacterium. Its description in RNAcentral is "partial 16S ribosomal RNA". It matches the Rfam family "Bacterial small subunit ribosomal RNA", at positions 30 to 523 of the family's 1533-position model. The record is from RNAcentral.